CAGCAGCCGCGGGAAUACGUAGGUGGCAAGCGUUGUCCGGAAUUAUUGGGCGUAAAGGGCUCGCAGGCGGUUUCUUAAGUCUGAUGUGAAAGCCCCCGGCUCAACCGGGGAGGGUCAUUGGAACCUGGGAAACUUGAGUGCAGAAGAGGAGAGUGGAAUUCCACGUGUAGCGGUGAAAUGCGUAGAGAUGUGGAGGAACACCAGUGGCGAAGGCGACUCUCUGGUCUGUAACUGACGCUGAGGAGCGAAAGCGUGGGGAGCGAACAGGAUUAGAUACCCCUGUAGUCCCUGUCUCUUAUAC
RNAcentral lists this ribosomal RNA (301 nucleotides) under uncultured bacterium. RNAcentral describes it as "partial 16S ribosomal RNA". It matches the Rfam family "Bacterial small subunit ribosomal RNA", at positions 509 to 807 of the family's 1533-position model. The record is from RNAcentral.